Long non-coding RNA from Ananas comosus (pineapple), 533 nucleotides. RefSeq lists it as uncharacterized. The transcript is spliced from 3 exons. Lineage: Eukaryota; Viridiplantae; Streptophyta; Magnoliopsida; Poales; Bromeliaceae. The record is from RefSeq and is a predicted model, not a curated record.
CUGGACCCUUGUGGAUGAUGCUAGAGCUCUGAGAAGCAGCCUUGCACCUCUCUUACUCUCUCACUCUAGAAGUUUUCUCUCUCUACAUAGAAAUCAACGAUUUAGCUCGAUUUCGUCGCCUCGCUUGUUCUUCGCUGCUUGCGAGUGUCGCUGAGCCUUUGUGGAUGUGUGAGAGGGUAUUUUGGAAGGUUUUUCGCAGCACCAAACCAGUGGGUUGCUGGUUGGAAGCUUGGUAAGCUGAAGGAAAAGGGGAUUUGCUGCUGUAACAGGAUCAGAUAUUGUAGCUUAGCUCAGUUGAGACUGAGUUUAUGAUCUAAGGAGGUAAACUACUUUUUCUUCAUUGUUUGGGCAUGAAUUCGACGACAAAAGGCUGAUUUUGGGAUCGUGGCUCGCCGCAGGUUUCCGAAGUAAAUUGAGCUUAAUUGGUGACCUUUGGGACUGGUUUAGAAGGUGUUCUAACCUGAGCGAGGGUGCGACCGACCUUUGGAUCACCAUCAGUUGGCAUUGGAGAGCAAUUAGAAGCUUAACUUAAG